RNAcentral lists this ribosomal RNA (494 nucleotides) under uncultured bacterium. RNAcentral's name for it is "partial 16S ribosomal RNA". It matches the Rfam family "Bacterial small subunit ribosomal RNA", at positions 28 to 507 of the family's 1533-position model. The record is from RNAcentral.
GACGAACGCUGGCGGCGCGCUUAACACAUGCAAGUCGAACGGAAAGGCCUGCUUUCCCUUGUGGAUUGCGGGUACUCGAGUGGCGAACGGGUGAGUAACACGUGAGUGAUCUGCCCCCAACUUGGGUAUAAGCCUGGGAAACUGGGUCUAAUUCCCGAUAGGACUGCAGGGUGGUGCCUGUGGUGGAAAACGAUUUUCUAGUGGUUGGGGAUGAGCUCGCGGCCUAUCAGCUUGUUGGUGGGGUAAUGGCCUACCAAGGCGGCGACGGGUAGCCGGCCUGGGAGGGUGGACGGGCACAUUGGGACUGAGAUACGGCGCAGACGCCUACGGGAGGCAGCAGUGGGGAAUAUUGCGCAAUGGGCGGAAGCCUGAUGCAGCGACGCCGCGUGGGGGAUGACGGCCGUCGGGUUGUAAACUCCUUUCGACCGCGAGGAAGCCACCUGGUUGGAAGGGUGGUGACGGUAGUGGUAGAAGAAGCACCGGCUAACUACGUG